CUUCUUAGUAUUUACACGCUACCUCACUGCAAACAAAUCUGUAGUAUCUGGAACGUUACGAAGUGUCCCUGCCAAAUACAGUGAUUCAUUGCACUGCCUCAAUAAUGGGCAAGAAAAGAGGCUUUUGAGUUCCGUAACCCAUAACAACUUUGAAUAGAACAAAGGGCCCUCUCCAAAGUCAGUGAAGUUAAUAGAGCUCUUUUCACCACAGCCCAAUCUGAGUUUGUUGAACAACUAAAUAUAAGCUCCCUGCCUUCUCACUCGAGACACUCUCCAGCCGUGGCGAUAGUAGCUGUUCAUUUUCUGCAUACUGCCAUAAUGAAACAAAAUCAUAGGAGGCUAAAAAAGACGCUGACGGUCUACAGAGGCGACUGGAACCACUGAAAUGGAACCGGUACCGCCCAGCCGCCCGCUCCUCCACGCGCGGCCAGCACCGCCCGGAUCCUCCGGAAGGAUUUUUCAAUCCUGUAUCUGCUUAAAGAGCAACCAUUAAUCUAUAUCAAACAGAUCACUCAUGCACAUUAAGGAAGCCAUUUUCUCCCCCCUUUUCCUGGGCUGCACGUCCCUGCCCAGCACAGCUCUCCGCCUCUCUCGGCAGCAUGGAGAGCAGCACAGACCAAAUCACCAAAAGAACAGCGAAGGUGCUGUGGUUUGGUGACUUUUGUUGUCAGUAUUCCGCAUCGGAACACCAUGUGAAACAGUGGGAGUUCAAGAGUUAAUGUUCUGGUUCCGUUUACUGCCUCUUACGGGCAUUUGGAGCACCGCGAUGGAGGGGAGGGGCGGCAUCCCCGGAGGACGGCGCGGAGAGGAAGCGAGGCGGAGCUCCGGGCGGACCGCGGCCGUCCCUCCGUGUCUCCGUCCGUCGGGCCGGCUCAGCUCGCUGCGGAGGGCACGUGCUUCCCUCGCACUUCGGUACUCCCCUCUCCCAUCUGGCUGGAUUUCGUUGGAUUUAGUAAACUACCGUUCCUCCUCACAUCGCUGCCGCAUCACUUGCUCUCCCUGAUCAGAGGGAACAGUCCCUAGGGAUCGUGACCGCACGUUGGUUCCCACCUCAUCCCCAGUCUCCACAAUUUCAACCAAAGCUGAAAGAACAGCAGAAGUCUCAGAGACAUUCUGUGUUCCUGCAGAUGCUGAGAACUGCCAUAGGCAGCUCGGCAGCCACUGAGCCCACCCACCAGCACCAGCCGACCCCAGCUCCGCAGGGCCAAAGGGAUGGAGGAGCAGCUGCUACUGCUACGGGAGAGACCCGGGGGGCAGAGUGCAGCCUUCAGGGAACACGGA
Molecule: long non-coding RNA, 1281 nt
Organism: Gallus gallus (chicken)
Lineage: Eukaryota; Metazoa; Chordata; Aves; Galliformes; Phasianidae
Source: Ensembl